CCUACGGGGCGCAGCAGUCGAGAAUCAUUCACAAUGGGGGAAACCCUGAUGGUGCGACGCCGCGUGGAGGAAUGAAGGUCUUCGGAUUGUAAACCCCUGUCAUGUGGGAGCAAAUUAAAAAGAUAGUACCACAAGAGGAAGAGACGGCUAACUCUGUGCCAGCAGCCGCGGUAAUACAGAGGUCUCAAGCGUUGUUCGGAAUCACUGGGCGUAAAGCGUGCGUAGGCUGUUUCGUAAGUCGGGUGUGAAAGGCGAGGGCUCAACCCGCGGACGGCACAUGAUACUGCGAGACUAGAGUAAUGGAGGGGGAACCGGAAUUCUCGGUGUAGCAGUGAAAUGCGUAGAUAUCGAGAGGAACACUCGUGGCGAAGGCGGGUUCCUGGACAUUAACUGACGCUGAGGCACGAAGGCCAGGGGAGCGAAAGGGAUUAGAUACCCGAGUAGUC
This 446-nucleotide ribosomal RNA is filed under the name uncultured bacterium. RNAcentral's name for it is "partial 16S ribosomal RNA". It matches the Rfam family "Bacterial small subunit ribosomal RNA", at positions 338 to 795 of the family's 1533-position model. The record is from RNAcentral.